CCUGAAGAGCUCAGAUACUCGCCAGGCUGUGACAUUUUGCAUUAAAUAUCUGAGGCCACCGAAGGGGGGACACUCGGGGCUGUUUGUGACACACAAAAACACCAGCAGUGCCCAGGGUCAGAGCCGGGGACUCGGGCCAAGUUCAGAAAUCAGACACCGCGCUGACCCCGCUGCUGUGACACCGCACAGGGCACAGCUCAGCCCGGGCACACACCGCCACCUGUCCUGGUCCACAGAGAGGUCCUGGCUCUGGAACACCCUGAAAAUACCUCCCUGGCGGGCUCACCAGAGCGGUAGAUUGUUCCUGGAGGAGCAAAGAGUCCGCAGGCACCGAGUGUUUGGAAGGGACACGCAGUGAAAGAUGAAGAAGGAAACGGAGGAGGAAGCAAUGGGAAAACUGCAGCUCCCACUUCCAGCUGGUGCCAAGAGGAGGAUCAGGGAUGUGUGUUUGUAACCUUAUAUUGUGGCCUGAACUUCAAAAAUGAGCUACAACCACUCCCAGAGCUCCAGGAAAGAGUUUUUCCUCCUCCAAGGUAAUGCCAGAGGCUCACCUUGCUGUUUGCAUCACUGCAGUGCUCAGAAAUGGACUUUUAUUUCAUUUUCUCAUUGUUACAAGCACUCUGGCUGUACGAGCUGCACUCAAAAGGGUGUUAUGGCAAAACUAAAACUGAGAUUUGCAUCUUUACGCUCCUGACACGGCCAACAAUAGGAAGUUGCUACCCAGAAAUAAAGGUUUGUAACAACCAUUAGCCAAAUAAACAGGGAAAUACUG
This is a long non-coding RNA of Pseudopipra pipra, 772 nucleotides long. RefSeq lists it as uncharacterized. The record is from RefSeq and is a predicted model, not a curated record. Lineage: Eukaryota; Metazoa; Chordata; Aves; Passeriformes; Pipridae. The transcript is spliced from 2 exons.